UAGCCCAGAGCUUGAGUCUUCCAGGCUAACU
RNAcentral lists this non-coding RNA (31 nucleotides) under Homo sapiens (human). The record is from RNAcentral. Lineage: Eukaryota; Metazoa; Chordata; Mammalia; Primates; Hominidae.